CUGAUAGCACUGAAGACUAAACUUCUUUCUUUAUCUAUAGAGCAGAUACACACAGCACACACAGCAGGAGUAUUAACCUCCCCACACUGCUAUUUGUUAUGUACUGGCUUGGAGUGACCAUUUCUAGGGUUGGCUUCAAACUUCAUAUCCAUUCAGUCCUUUGCCUUU
Molecule: small RNA, 168 nt
Filed under: Chelonoidis abingdonii (Abingdon island giant tortoise)
Lineage: Eukaryota; Metazoa; Chordata; Testudines; Testudinidae
Description: TUC338 (ENSCABG00000010085.1)
Source: RNAcentral